GAACUGCUGAAGAGUCCCAUACUAGAACGAAACGGCCGUCUAAUGC
Molecule: non-coding RNA, 46 nt
Filed under: Schistosoma margrebowiei
Lineage: Eukaryota; Metazoa; Platyhelminthes; Trematoda; Strigeidida; Schistosomatidae
Source: RNAcentral